Melanotaenia boesemani (Boeseman's rainbowfish) is the source of this 455-nucleotide long non-coding RNA. RefSeq lists it as uncharacterized. NCBI's taxonomy places the organism in Eukaryota, Metazoa, Chordata, Actinopteri, Atheriniformes, Melanotaeniidae. The record is from RefSeq and is a predicted model, not a curated record. The transcript has 3 exons.
UUGAACAGCUUCAAUCUCCCACAGUUCCUGCGUGUGACAGUCAUUCAUUAACAAGCAGAGACACAACGAGGAAGCUAACAUGUCAGACAAGAAACAGACCGUAGAUUUGGGUUUGCUGGAGGAGGAUGAUGAGUUUGAAGAAUUUCCAGCCGAAGAUUGGACGGGGCUGGAUGAAGAUGAGGAUGCUCAUGUUUGGGAAGACAACUGGGACGAUGACAACGUAGAGGAUGAUUUUUCAAAUCAGCUAAGAGCGGAGCUCGAAAAACAUGGUUACAAGAUGGAGACAUCUUAGGGGAUUGCAAGGCCUCAUAGUAGCUGAUGACAUUGGAUAUGGACAUUGAUAUUUGAAUAUUACUGCUUUACCACUUGCCCCAUGAAGACAUUUGCGGAUGUUAAAUUGUUUGUUUUUUUCUAAGAAAUAUUGAUGGAAGUAAAGCUUCUUGGUGGAAAAAGUU